Molecule: small nuclear RNA, 107 nt
Filed under: Sciurus vulgaris (Eurasian red squirrel)
Lineage: Eukaryota; Metazoa; Chordata; Mammalia; Rodentia; Sciuridae
Source: RNAcentral
GUGCUUGCUUUGGUAGCACAUAUAUUAAAACUGAAAUGAUACAGAGAAGAUUAUCAUGGCCCCUGCAUAAAGAUCACAUGGAAAUUCAAGAAGUGUUCCAUGUUUUG